Molecule: long non-coding RNA, 4931 nt
Organism: Passer domesticus (house sparrow)
Lineage: Eukaryota; Metazoa; Chordata; Aves; Passeriformes; Passeridae
Exons: 3
Source: RefSeq, a predicted model, not a curated record
CAAAGAGACCUUUUCAAUCCAGACAAUGGGCAAUGACUAUAUGAAGUUUAGGAUUCUGUAUCUGCAGUGGGGUGACCCUGGAUGUAUGGACAGACUGGGGAAUGAGAUGCUGGAGAGCAGUUCUGGGAAAAAGGACUGGUCAGCAGAAAGUUGAACACAAGGCAGCAGUGCCCCGGCAGCCAGGAGGGCCAACCCUGUCCUGGCGACAUCAGACACAGCAUGGCCAGCUGGGCAAGGGAGGGGAUUGAGGGGAUUGUCCUGCUCUGCUCUGCACUGGGGUGGCCUCACCUCCAGUGCUGGGGCAGUUUCGGGUGCCACAAUACACAAAAUACAUUUAGCUAUUAGAGAGAAUCCAAAGGAGGGCUACGAAGAUGGUGAAGAGACCUGAGGGGAAGCUGUGUGAGGUGUGACUGAGGCCAUUGGCCUGUUCAGCCUGGAGAGAAGGAGGCUGAGGGGAGGCCUCACAGCUUCCUCAUGAGGGGAGGAGGAGGGGCAGACACUGAUCUCUGCUCCAUGGUGACAGUGACAGGACCUGAGAGAAUGGCCUGAAUUUGUGUCAGGAGAGGUUUAGGUUGGAUAUCAGCAAAAGGCUCUUUACCCAGAGGGUGGUUGCAUAAUGGAGCAGGUUUUCCCAGAGAACUGGCCACAGCAGCAAGCCUGGGAGAGUUUAGGAAGCAUUUGGAAAAUUCUCUCAAGCACAUGGUGUAGUUCUAGGGUCUGCCCUGUGCCAGGUCAGGAGCUGAACUUGGAUAUCUUUGUGGGUCCCUUCAAACUCAGGAUAUUCUCUGACUCUAUGAUUCUGGUUUUCUAUACUCUCACUCCUGGAAGCACUUCAGAAUUGUACUGACUUUUCUUCCCCUGACAGAUUUGUUACAACUGACCUUUCCAUUAUUCCUUUGUAGCUUUUAUCUGAUCUCAGUUUGCAUGAAUGGCCACUGAGGCUACUCAAAGAAGGCAGUCCAUCAUAUGUAUAAACAAUCCACCUGGUCCUUGAAGAGAAACAGUUGUGAACUCUGAGACAGCCUUGGGAGCAGUUGCAGUUCCAAAGCUGUGAUCACUCUGUGCUAAAUGUUAUCAUACAUACUUGCAACAAUUAUCUUAUGCUGGGAAUAGACAUUAUCAAGGAUGGAUUCUGAAUAAUGCAUAUGAGAUAGGUUUUGGGGAGCACUGCUGGUAGAACCUUUGUCCUCUGACUUAAGUCACAUAACAGCUUUCCUUUUAACUGUUAAAUUUCAUAUAAUACCCUCCAGAAUAGAUGCUCUGCGCAGUAUUGUAAGAUAAUUCCUUAUUUGCAGCAGAGACAGCCUUCUCUAGCAAUUUCUAGUUGAUGUAUCCAUUAUAUAGUUGAGUGCAGUUUUUCUUUUAAGAGUCAACACAUUUCUUAUGCAGCAUUCAAGCCUCUCUCUGGAUGUUGAGUUCAUGUUUUCCAGGGAAUCUCCUUUCUGAAUGACUGUAUAUAAGCUUUAUAGUAACUGCAUGAGAAUAUAAUCUAGACUCUUAUUCUCUUCUUCAGACCACCUUCUUCACGGGAAGAGUUUUUCAGGGAUUGAUUUUAAGAUGUUGAUAUACUGAACUAUUAUUAAUAUUCUAUUAGUAGUUAACAUAUCUUUGUACCCGAUUAUAUAGUUUGUCUCAAUUUUCAUGCUAUUACUGUGACAAGUUCUGAUUUUCAUUUCUCACUCAAGACUUAAUUCUACAAGAACCUGAUUGCUUUGAUCUGAGACACUGAGGCAUGUAAAUAGCAGCACAGCUUAGGUAUGUAAGUGUAUCAUUAAAAAAUACUGGAUACUUGCAUAUUUAAGCUGAAAGAAAACUCUAGUUAAUCAGCUUGGAACAUCCAAGUCUGAGUUCUGCCACACUUGAGAGAUGUUCAUAGAAUCAUAACAUCAGCAGAAAAGUAGAAAAUGUGAUGUUCAAAGAAGUGAAGAAAUGUCUGCUCAAAAAGAUAUCUCUGCUUCAAAGACAUGAGACUGAUACAAAAAAUAGGACAAUAAAGUGUUCUCCAUUUCCAUAGGGGAGGAAAGAAAAGGGUUAAAAUUUUACAAAGAUUUCAUUCAGAAAAUCUUUUUACAUGAGAGAUAGUGAUGCACUAGAAUUGUCUUGGCAGCCUGUGGAAUUUCAGUUAAAGAAGGAUUUUAAGAUACAAGUUAUAGAAUUAUCAGAUAAAAAUGACUGAGGUAUGACUGAUGCUGGGCUGGGACAGCAUGAUAAAUUAGGUAAUCUCAGAAAUCUUUUCAGAACUUAUUUUUCAUAUUUUUCUCUGAGACAAUUUGAAGAAACAAAGUUAGAUGCCUGCAUUGUUUAGUCCAUCUGCCUUCUUCCUCCUCUGUAAUAGAGGAUACAAGCAUUUGCCCAGCCACUGAGGCAUGCUGUGGGGGAAAAGGCAAGGACUUUUAGCCAGUCAGAUGCAAUGGCACUAAGUAGGGAGCUGGAAAAGAUAGAUAGCACAGGCUAAAAAACUUCAGUAGAUUUGGCCAGAGUGCUUGGUCUGGAACUGUGUUAUCAGCAUCCCUUGGGCUGCCAAGUUUUCAGUGACAGCAGAAUUUAAACACUAAUUUCAUUGACUGCUGAUUCAGUUCUAUGUGAAUUGAAUAGGCAGUUUCUAGAUCAAGAAGCAAACCUGCAAGGUCCUAAUUCUACAAUUGCCUACACAUGAAGCUUAAUCUACUUGACUAGGACUGUUAAAUGUGCCUAUUCUGACAUACAAAGAAAAUUAUGGAUGCAAUCAAAAGCUUCUCUGGAUUGUACACAAAGCUUCCUGUAAUUAAUGUAAUAAUUUCAGCUUAGAUCCACUGCCUAGUCUCAGCCUCUUAAACUUAACUAGUCUCAGUUUUGACAAUGAAAAAUUUCAAAGACUAGGCAGAAGCAGGUCUUGUCCUUGGAAAAAGACAGCUGGUUGCCACAAAUGAUUGUUAUACUGAAGAUGAAAAAGUUCAAACUGCCCUUCUUCCUAUGCUUUUAAAACCAUGUGUGUUCUUAUGUGGUACAUAGAGCCUGGUGUAGCAGACACUGAGUCAAUGAAAUAAUUCACAUUGAUUUCAAGGUGUGUUGGAUUGGAUUGAUGCCAGAAAGAGAGUGGAUGCAUUUUCUCUAGAAGUGAUAGUCUCAUCUGCUUUCAUAUGCACCAAAUUCCUAAUACCCUCCCCCAUUUUUGUGGGGAAACAAAACCAAACCUACCUACCAAAAUCUUCCUUUCUUUGUUCACAAAUUCUGUCAAUUUUAGUGUAAAAAAUUAGUGGUUUAGUGUACUUUUGUUCAAAAAUCGAUGUCUUCCUGCAAAAAGUUUGGUGUAAAAAGUGACAUUCUAGCAUAAUGAGAGGGAUACUCUGCUGACCACCAUGGACAAGCACACGGGAAGGGCAUGGUUCCAGCAUUCAUGCACCAGUACAAGCUCUGGCACAUCUUUUAGAGCUAAUGUUUGACAAAUGGCAUGCAGCUUUGUCCGUUUACUGUCACUUGCAAUAAAAAUUCAUGUUGGAUUAUAUCUCUGUGCUGUAAACAGGAUGAAAUGUAGCUACUUAUAACUUAGCAGCUGGUUUGUGACUUUGUUUCCUUUCUCAUAGGAAGUAUUCAUAUUUUCAAAGAAACACUAGUGAGUUGUGGACAAGGAUUAAGUAUUUUUUUUUGUCCUGUACUGGGAAUCACUAAGUAAAGACUUAGGUCACUUUUGUAACUCUACAAUUUCAUCUGUAUUACUCUGUUCUAUCUUUCUUCUCGCUUUCAUUAUAUAGAAAACUAACUUGUCACAGCUUGUCCUUUUUAAAGGCUGAGCCUCGUGAUACAGUUUUUAAUUUUGAUAACACUGUGAGAUCCUGAGUCUUACCAUCAAAUAAUGAAUACAAAAGUGUUUGGGAUAUUGAUAAGCAGAGUCCUAUAUAGAUAUAAAUAAUUUGCUUCAUUCAAUGUGCCUUUGAAGUCCUUUUUUGUUUGCAUUCAAGAAACCCUUUAUGGGCUUUAGGACAAAUUAGGACCCUGUCUUCAUCCCUUCCUUACUGGGUACUUACUUUAAGCCUGUAAUUAGCUGCAGAUGAAGCUGUAUCUAUUUAAGUGUUUAAACAUUUGCUUGCCCCUAGAAACAUGUCUAAAUCAUGGUCAUUUUUCUCUUCUCUCUGCAGGUUUAGUCCCUGGCCCAAAAGUAAUUUAGGUCAUUCCUGUGUCACCAAAAGCAGAAGGAGAUGCCUAUUCACUGCAUUUUUCACAAUAGGGCAGGGGUGGUACAGUCCUCUUCUUGUAACUGUAGACAUUUUUAUGGCAUAGCAUUACUCAGUGUUUGUAUACUUUUUAAGCCCAGAGGAGACAAGUAGUUUUGCAAGCUUAUAACUGGAUUUACUGUAACAUCAAGACAUGCAAGACAGAGGGGAAAUCUGUACUAAGACUGCAGCUAUGGAUUUUCUCAAGAAAAGGAAAAAAAAACCUAAACAUCUAGAAUGUUUGUUUCAAAGGGCAUCAACUGUGAAAAGCAGGAUUCUCCCCACAGUGUUAGAAAGGGUGGGCAGUGAAGGAAGACCAAGGUGGUUGCUACUGUUGAGGGAUUCUCAGAUGUAAGGAUCCAGGUGUUAUUCAAAUAAAAUCAACUGCUGGCAGAGCUGCAAAAUCACUCACUAAUAAGAAUGGAUUGAGCACUGCCUGGGGGUGCUGACAGAAGCUCAAAGGAGAUCCUCUCCUACACACUACAUUUGUCUUACAUAAAGGCUGGAUUUUUGAUUCACUGAGGUUGAAUUUGGAUGAUCUGCUUCCAUUAUCACUUAUCAUACUAACACAGCCCAUUGAUUUUACUACCACCUCUGCUCUCUCUCAUCCUCCUGCAUCUGUGUUCCAGGAAACCAGUCUUACAGCUGCUGACUCCAGAAGCGCUGGCCAGCCACAACCCACGCUCCUCUCACACAGCCUCACACCCCAGCAGCACUUACCUGCUGCAGCAGCAUGGUUCU